ACUCCUACGGGAGGCAGCAGUAGGGAAUCUUCCACAAUGGGCGCAAGCCUGAUGGAGCAACACCGCGUGAGUGAAGAAGGGUUUCGGCUCGUAAAGCUCUGUUGUUAAAGAAGAACACGUAUGAGAGUAACUGUUCAUACGUUGACGGUAUUUAACCAGAAAGUCACGGCUAACUACGUGCCAGCAGCCGCGGUAAUACGUAGGUGGCAGGCGUUAUCCGGAUUUAUUGGGCGUAAAGAGAGUGCAGGCGGUUUUCUAAGUCUGAUGUGAAAGCCUUCGGCUUAACCGGAGAAGUGCAUCGGAAACUGGAUAACUUGAGUGCAGAAGAGGUAGUGGAACUCCAUGUGUAGCGGUGGAAUGCGUAGAUAUAUGGAAGAACACCAGUGGCGAAGGCGGCUACCUGGUCUGCAACUGACGCUGAGACUCGAAAGCAUGGGUAGCGAACAGGAUUAGAUACCCCGU
RNAcentral lists this ribosomal RNA (462 nucleotides) under uncultured bacterium. Its description in RNAcentral is "bacterial SSU rRNA". It matches the Rfam family "Bacterial small subunit ribosomal RNA", at positions 335 to 790 of the family's 1533-position model. The record is from RNAcentral.